AAUUUUGGACAAUGGGGGAAACCCUGAUCCAGCCAUCCCGCGUGUAUGAUGAAGGCCUUCGGGUUUUAAAGUACUUUUGGCUGAGAAGAAAAGGUAUCCCCUAAUACGGGAUACUCCUGACGGUAUCUUCAGAAUAAGCACCGGCUAACUCCGUGCCAGCAGCCGCGGUAAUACGUAGGGUGCAAGCGUUAACCGGAAUCACUUGGCGUAAAGCGGAUGUAGGCGGUUCGGAAAGAAAGAUGAGAAAUCCCAGGGCUCAACCUUGGAACUGCAUUUUUAACUGCAGAGCUAGAGUAUGUCAGAGGGGGGUAGAAUUCCAAGUGUAGCAGUGAAAUGCGUAGAUAUGUGGAGGAAUACAGAUGGCGAAGGCAGCCCCCUGGGAUAAUACUGACGCUCAGACACGAAAGCGUGGGGAGCAAACAGG
This 424-nucleotide ribosomal RNA is filed under the name uncultured bacterium. RNAcentral's name for it is "partial 16S ribosomal RNA". It matches the Rfam family "Bacterial small subunit ribosomal RNA", at positions 360 to 776 of the family's 1533-position model. The record is from RNAcentral.